Molecule: long non-coding RNA, 214 nt
Filed under: Vigna radiata
Lineage: Eukaryota; Viridiplantae; Streptophyta; Magnoliopsida; Fabales; Fabaceae
Description: long non-coding RNA (VRAD_LNC008553)
Source: RNAcentral
AAAGUUUACGGCAGGAACUAUUGUCUGUACCAAAAGAAACGUUGGGGGAAGUCCAACAAUUCUUGUGACAGCACGUAUUCUCUGUACCAAAAGAAACUUUGGGGGAAUCCCAACAACGUUUACAAAAAAACAAUCUCCUGUACACAAAGAAACAUUAGGGGAAGCUCAAGAACGUUUAUUGCAGGAACAACACUCUCAUGUUUUGAAGUCUUUG